UUACGGGCAUAUCACGUUGAAACACCGGUUCCCGUACGAUAAUCGAAGUUAAGCAACGUUGAUCCUGGUCAUUAUUUAGAUGGAUGACCGCUUGGAAAUACCGGGUGCUGUAAG
This is a non-coding RNA of Acanthosepion pharaonis, 114 nucleotides long. Lineage: Eukaryota; Metazoa; Mollusca; Cephalopoda; Sepiida; Sepiidae. The record is from the annotation of a GenBank genome assembly.